UAGAUCAUGCAAGAGGGCAAUCCGGAUCUCACUGCUCCUCCGCUGCCUCCUCCGCCUCCCACCAGCGGCGCCCUAAGGUCCGAGGCUCUCGUCAAUGGUUUCGAGACAGAUAAAAGGAAAAGGUUCGCUUACUUUAUGAUGAAUUGAAUUGUGUUUUAGUUUGGAAGUGGAGCAUGUGAGUUGGAAUUAGGCGUGGGAAAGGAUAAGAGGAUGGCUGGAGAUGGGAGUGUCGUCCCUGCAGACCCAGUGAGAAGAAAAUUUCAAGGAUAUAUUUUAACUAAAUUGAUUAUUAAAUUCUUUCUUAUCACAUUAGUUGUCAAAUUAUAAAUAGUUUUGAAAGUGAUGCAAUAACCAAUCAACCAAAUUUCUUUUUAACAAAAUAUUCUGAGAGGUUGAAAUCCAAUCCAUACAAGCUGCUUAAUAUCCGACCAUAGUCUAAAAUACCAUCAAACCAAGCUUAAAACUAUCUUUCAAACAAUGAGAAGUUUUGAAGUUACAAACAGAGGAAAUGGCAUUUUCAAAAUAUGCCUAGUGGAUUACAGGAUUUGCUUCACAUCAGAAAUGGCUAGAGACAACAAGAAGAAAUGAAACAAUGAAGAGGGAAUACAGAAUAUCUUACACAAACGAACAGAUUGAUAUCAAUUAUAGAAUACGUGUAACUGUCGCUUCUGCUCCACCUUUACAACAACAAGAACCAUCAUAAAUCUCAAAUCUACAUAAUCACGCUGAAGCUCAACUCUGUUUGAGGCUAUUGUUCACCAGGAAGUACAGAUUAAAGCCAAUCAGAAGCUGCCGUUUGAAUAUCCGUCUCAGUAUGAGAGAGAGGAGUAACUGAGGUUGGGUUAUAAC
RNAcentral lists this long non-coding RNA (849 nucleotides) under Vigna radiata. RNAcentral describes it as "long non-coding RNA (VRAD_LNC002413)". Lineage: Eukaryota; Viridiplantae; Streptophyta; Magnoliopsida; Fabales; Fabaceae. The record is from RNAcentral.